AUACUUAACUGGCAGGGAAGAUACCAUGAUAUUGAAGGUGGUUUUCCCAGGGUGAGACUUAUCCAUUGUCCUCUGGAUGUGCUGACUUCUGUGAUUUCCCAAAUGUGAAAAACUUGACUGCAUAAUUUGUAGCAGUAGGGGACUGUGUUUGCACCUUCUCCUU
Octodon degus (degu) is the source of this 163-nucleotide small nuclear RNA. Its record names the gene U1. It matches the Rfam family "U1 spliceosomal RNA". Rfam says of the family: U1 is a small nuclear RNA (snRNA) component of the spliceosome (involved in pre-mRNA splicing). The record is from Ensembl. Lineage: Eukaryota; Metazoa; Chordata; Mammalia; Rodentia; Octodontidae.